RNAcentral lists this ribosomal RNA (247 nucleotides) under uncultured bacterium. Its description in RNAcentral is "partial 16S ribosomal RNA". It matches the Rfam family "Bacterial small subunit ribosomal RNA", at positions 523 to 769 of the family's 1533-position model. The record is from RNAcentral.
AUACGGAGGAUGCGAGCGUUAUCCGGAUUCAUUGGGUUUAAAGGGUGCGUAGGCGGCUUUUUAAGUCAGUGGUGAAAUCCUGCCGCUUAACGGUAGAAUUGCCAUUGAUACUGAAGAGCUUGAGUACAAUUGAGGUAAGCGGAAUGUGUAGUGUAGCGGUGAAAUGCAUAGAUAUGAUAUAGAACACCGAUUGCGAAGGCAGCUAACUAAGCGAUGAUUGACGCUGAGGCACGAAAGCGUGGGGAUC